CCACGUCCACGGUUUCGUCCAUAACCUCGUCCUCCUCUAUGCCCUUUCCCACGUUCAUUCUUCUGGAAUGACGUGUUAUGUACUUCAGGUAACUGGGCAGAGCCUGUGGGACGUAUCUGAUGGUUUUUCAAUAACAACUCAUUAUUCUUUUCAGCCACAAGAAGGAGAGAUAUCAGCUCGCCAUAUUUCUGAAAAUUCCGCUCCCUAUAUUGUUGAGCCAGGAUCAUAGUGUUGGGGUGAAAGGUUGAGAGGGUCUUUUCAAUCAUUUCAGCAUCAGUGAUAUUUUCACCACAUAAAAUUAAUUUUGAGCUUAUCUUGAAAAGAGCAGAAUUAUAUUCAGCUACGGAUUUGAAAUCCUGUAGCCUCAAAUUAAUCCAGUCAUAUCGGGCAGAUGGCAAGUGAACAAGUUUCUGGUGAUCAAAUCUAUCCUUGAGAUUGUUCCUGAGUGGAUUUUUGAUAGUGAGGUAUUCAGAUCCUUCAGGUGGCCAGAAUGAUAUUGAUUGCGAGACCGACCACGGAAAUUUCCACGUCCACGGUUUCGUCCAUAACCUUGUCCUCCUCUAUGCCCUUUCCCACGUUCAUUCUUCUGGAAUGACGUGUUAUGUACUUCAGGUAACUGGGCAGAGCCUGUGGGACGUAUCUGAUGGUUUUUCAAUAACAACUCAUUAUUCUUUUCAGCCACAAGAAGGAGAGAUAUCAGCUCGCCAUAUUUCUGAAAAUUCCGCUCCCUAUAUUG
Molecule: long non-coding RNA, 736 nt
Filed under: Daucus carota (carrot)
Lineage: Eukaryota; Viridiplantae; Streptophyta; Magnoliopsida; Apiales; Apiaceae
Description: long non-coding RNA (DCAR_LNC002646)
Source: RNAcentral